CCUACGGGUGGCAGCAGUAGGGAAUCUUCCACAAUGGGCGAAAGCCUGAUGCAGCAACGCCGCGUGGGUGAAGAAGGUCUUCGGAUUGUAAAACCCUGUUGUUCGAGAAGCAAGUGCGUGAGAGUAACUGUUCACGUUUCGACGGUAUCUAACCAGAAAGCCACGGCUAACUACGUGCCAGCAGCCUCGGUAAUACGUAGGUGGCAAGCGUUAUCCGGAUUUAUUGGGCGUAAAGGGAACGCAGGCGGUCUUUUAAGCCUGAUGUGAAAGCCUUCGGCUUAACCGGAGUAGUGCAUUGGAAACUGGGAGACUUGAGUGCAGGAGAGGUGAGUGGAACUCCAGGUGUAGCGGUGAAAUGCGUAGAUAUAUGGAAGAACCCCAGUGGCGAAGGCGGCUCUCUGGCCUGUAACUGACGCUGAGGUUCGAAAGCGUGGGUAGCAAACAGGAUUAGAUACCCGUGUAGUC
RNAcentral lists this ribosomal RNA (465 nucleotides) under uncultured bacterium. Its description in RNAcentral is "partial 16S ribosomal RNA". It matches the Rfam family "Bacterial small subunit ribosomal RNA", at positions 338 to 795 of the family's 1533-position model. The record is from RNAcentral.